Ribosomal RNA from Protopterus annectens (West African lungfish), 153 nucleotides. RefSeq annotates it as 5.8S ribosomal RNA. The transcript has a single exon. The record is from RefSeq and is a predicted model, not a curated record. Lineage: Eukaryota; Metazoa; Chordata; Ceratodontiformes; Protopteridae.
GACUCUGAGAGGUGGAUCACUCGGCUUGUGCAUCGAUGAAGAACACAGCUAGCUAUGAGAACUAAUGUGAAUUGCAUGACACAUUGAUCAUCGACACUUCAAAUGCAUUUUGCAGCCCGGGUUACUCCCUGGACUACAUCUGUCUGAGGGUUG